UUCAAUUUGAAUUUCUAUUUCGAAUUUUAUAAAAAUUUUUUGUUUGUUUGGUUUUUGAAUACGAAUUAAAAAAGCGAAGAAGAUCAAAUUAGUUUACAAUAAAAUGGUAACCGCGACUUCUAUCCAAAAUUGAACAAUACAGCUGUAUUUACAGCUUAAUUUUCGUAUUGCAAAUUUUCUUCCGACAAGAACCCAAUAUGCUAAAUUGCAGUCCAUUCGUUCGGAAAUCGGGACAAGGGUGUUGUUGCGGUGAACCGGUCGUGUGCCAUGCAGCUUAAUUUGUGUUUGCGAUUAUUAUGACAUCCGCUGUUGGUAUUUAGAUGCUGUAAAAUAAUCUUGGAAUAAACUAAUGGUGCUGAAAAAUAAUUUUCGAAAGAGGUGUCCAUCUCCUAAGCCCAACAACCAGCCAACCAACCAGUGAGUGUCAAUGUGUUUGUUCCCUUUUUACCAAGUGAAUGUGGAUAUGGAGCAACGAUACAAACAGAAGAGCUUACGCUGACUUUGGAUUUGCUUGUUGGGCUGGUACUAUUCCCUCCAAUAGACAUGAGUUUACGUCGUUCGUCUUCAUUGGAUCGUCGACAUCGUGAAUUCUAUUCGGUUCCAUUGAAGAUGUUGUAGGUGCCGACAUUGUAUUUAGGUUCCUCGUUAACUGUCGUCAAUUACAGGAUUUGGUUAUGAGCUGGCUGGUGCCGUGAGUGCACACGGCACCGCAUGAUGACGAAAGUAUGGGACAACUUCAAUGCGUAUGUUAUUAAAAAGACGCCAAUUUUAUUAUGAAAAUUACAAACUAUUGAAGAUAAUAGUUAAUAACAAUAAUGAAAUUGGAUUUAAUAUGAGGAAUAAAUAUUUAAGGUAUCUGCAAAUUAAAAAUAUAUUAUAUUUGGUUCCUCAAAGGAUUCGUUCAAUCGAAAUUCGAAAGAAAUCCAAUAUGGAUUACUAUAACCUUAUACCGAAA
Long non-coding RNA from Musca domestica (house fly), 955 nucleotides. RefSeq lists it as uncharacterized. The transcript is spliced from 3 exons. Lineage: Eukaryota; Metazoa; Arthropoda; Insecta; Diptera; Muscidae. The record is from RefSeq and is a predicted model, not a curated record.